RNAcentral lists this small RNA (28 nucleotides) under Bombyx mori (domestic silkworm). RNAcentral's name for it is "ovarian small RNA-33403". The record is from RNAcentral. Lineage: Eukaryota; Metazoa; Arthropoda; Insecta; Lepidoptera; Bombycidae.
UGCAAUCUUUCACACAAGCAGCCGCGCC